GACGAACCGAGCGAACGUUGUUCGGAAUCACUGGGCUUAAAGGGCGCGUAGGCGGGUGCUCAAGUCUGUGGUGAAAUCCUCCGGCUCAACCGGAGAACUGCCGUGGAUACUGGGUGCCUCGAGGGUGGUAGGGGUAUGCGGAACUAUCGGUGGAGCGGUGAAAUGCGUUGAUAUCGAUAGGAACUCCGGUGGCGAAGGCGGCAUACUGGACCACAUCUGACGCUGAGGCGCGAAAGCCAGGGGAGCAAACGGG
This 253-nucleotide ribosomal RNA is filed under the name uncultured bacterium. RNAcentral's name for it is "partial 16S ribosomal RNA". It matches the Rfam family "Bacterial small subunit ribosomal RNA", at positions 524 to 776 of the family's 1533-position model. The record is from RNAcentral.